AAGGUUUGUUUUGCCUUGUUUGC
This 23-nucleotide non-coding RNA is filed under the name Arabidopsis thaliana (thale cress). The record is from RNAcentral. Lineage: Eukaryota; Viridiplantae; Streptophyta; Magnoliopsida; Brassicales; Brassicaceae.